GAUGAACGCUGACAGAAUGCUUAACACAUGCAAGUCAACUUGAACUUCGGUUUGGGUGGCGGACGGGUGAGUAACGCGUAAAGAACUUGCCUCACAGAUAGGGACAACAUUUGGAAACGAAUGCUAAUACCUGAUAUUAUGAUUAUAUGGCAUCGUAUAAUUAUGAAAGCUAUAUGCGCUGUGAGAGAGCUUUGCGUCCCAUUAGCUAGUUGGAGGGGUAACGGCUCACCAAGGCGAUGAUGGGUAGCCGGCCUGAGAGGGUGAUCGGCCACAAGGGGACUGAGACACGGCCCUUACUCCGACGGGAGGCAGCAGUGGGGAAUAUUGGACAAUGGACCAAGAGUCUGAUCCAGCAAUUCUGUGUGCACGAUGAAGUUUUUCGGAAUGUAAAGUGCUUUCAGUUGGGAAGAAAAAAAUGACGGUACCAACAGAAGAAGUGACGGCUAAAUACGUG
This 454-nucleotide ribosomal RNA is filed under the name uncultured bacterium. RNAcentral describes it as "partial 16S ribosomal RNA". It matches the Rfam family "Bacterial small subunit ribosomal RNA", at positions 28 to 507 of the family's 1533-position model. The record is from RNAcentral.